AAGUCGUAACAAGGUUUCCGUAGGUGAACCUGCGGAAGGAUCAUUAACACGUAUCCAACGUUAAACCCCCCGUGAACCUUCAUUGUGCUCCCCCAUUCCGUUAGGACGCGGCAAUCCCUGGUAAAUCAUCGCCGAACAGUUUUGAUUCAGGGACCUCUGCAUGGAGUGGGCAGCAGCGCGAGGCAAGUGGCCUGGCAUUCGAAAGAAUGGCGCAGUAACGGCGACCGGGUCACUGGGCUCACGCCCCCCUAUCACCUUUGCAUGAAAACGGGCCUGCGCUUAAUUGUGCGGCCACCAAACUCGAACAACUGUUAACAAUGGAUAUCUUGGUUCUC
Molecule: unclassified non-coding RNA, 335 nt
Filed under: fungal sp.
Lineage: Eukaryota; Fungi
Description: partial internal transcribed spacer region
Rfam family: Eukaryotic small subunit ribosomal RNA (bases 1-46)
Source: RNAcentral